AGGUAAUAGAUACCCGGGUAGUCCACGCCCUAAACUAUGAUUACUAGGUGUGGGAGGAUUCGACCCCUUCCGUGCCGAAAGCUAAACGCAUUAAAGUAAUCCGCCUGGGUAGUACGAUCGCAAGAUUAAAACUCAAAGGAAUAGACGGGGACCCACACAAGCGGUGGAGCAUCUGGUUUAAUUCGACAGUAAGCGAAGAACCUCACCAGGACUUGACAUCCCGAGAAGACUGCCGAAAGGUGGUUGUGCCGCAAGGAACUCGGUGGCAGGUGCUGCAUGGUUGUCGUCAGCUCGUGCCUUGAGGUGUUCGGUUAAGUCCGUAAACGAGCGCAACCCAUGUCACUAGUUGCAUUUCUCUAGUGAGACUGCCGGCUCCAAGUCGGAGGAAGGUAUGGAUGACGUCAAAUCAGCAUGGCCCUUAUGUCCUGGGCGACACAGGUGCUACAAUGGUAGGUACAAAGGGCUGCGAAAAGGUAACUUCUAGCCAAUCCCAAAAGCCUAUCCAAGUUCGGAUUGAGGGCUGAAAUUCGCCCUCAUGAAG
Molecule: ribosomal RNA, 541 nt
Filed under: uncultured bacterium
Lineage: Bacteria
Description: bacterial SSU rRNA
Rfam family: Bacterial small subunit ribosomal RNA
Source: RNAcentral